Molecule: transfer RNA, 73 nt
Filed under: Coemansia aciculifera
Lineage: Eukaryota; Fungi; Kickxellomycota; Kickxellomycetes; Kickxellales; Kickxellaceae
Description: tRNA-Arg
Rfam family: tRNA
About the family: Transfer RNA (tRNA) molecules are approximately 80 nucleotides in length. Their secondary structure includes four short double-helical elements and three loops (D, anti-codon, and T loops).
Source: RNAcentral
GGUCUUGUGGCCCAAUGGAUAAGGCGUUUGACUACGAAUCAAGAGAUUCCAGGUUCGAUCCCUGGCAAGAUCA